This 5289-nucleotide long non-coding RNA is filed under the name Zostera marina. RNAcentral's name for it is "long non-coding RNA (ZMAR_LNC003723)". Lineage: Eukaryota; Viridiplantae; Streptophyta; Magnoliopsida; Alismatales; Zosteraceae. The record is from RNAcentral.
AAUAUUAGAUCAAUAGUUAAUAUUUUUUAUUUAUAAUUUUAAAAUAAAAAAGAUUAAUAAAGAUUUUUGGAGGUGAAAUUCCAGCAAAAUAAUUUCCAAAAAAAUCCACAAAAAAAAUUUCCCGCCAAUAUUUUUAUAGAAAAUUUAAUUUCUCGUGAAAAUGUGAGUAUUGGUGGCGGAAAUCCGCCACGAAAAAUCUACCAUACAAUGUCUCUUUUUUUGUAGUUAAUCAUCAACAAUUAGGAUUGUGAUAUAAUUCCAAUCAGCUAUGAGGAAGUAUCAGAGUGUAUCCAGUCGGAGGGGGACAGUGAAAUCGCGGAAUCCCUAACUGGGGAAAGAUUGGGGAUGAACGACGACAGUCCAGAACAGCUUAACCGUGGCGAACCCGGUCAACCUUCCACAAGCAUGAGAGAAAGAAGUCGGCCCACUUGGAAGAUUACUUAAUGGGCUAGGGGAGGAAUUGGCCCACUUGAAGAAUUUAUGUUUGUUUUUAAAAUUGCUAAAUAGACCUUAAGUUUAAAUUUAAUGUUGUAAUAGUCAGUAGUAGAAUGUUUUAAUGAUUGGAAAAUCAGUAUCGAAAAUUGAACCAAAUAUUCCUGUUCUUGCGCAAACUUCCUCUCAAACCCUACAUCCGGCGUUGUGUCGAGUACCUCUCCACCCCUCCCAUCAAAAUCCGUCCGGUCUGCCUCAACUUCCAGCCGCAUUGAGCCCUCUGCUGAUUGGUUUAACAACCGUGAUCACCCAGAGCUAAGACUCAAUAUCAGGGAUAUAUUCCCGCCGUGAACUACCUUGGACACCUAAAAUCUCUGAUCUUAGAUCUAGGGCAUCAUCGACCUCAGGUCAAUUCGUUUUUAAAUUUGUUUAGGGAUUUAGAACCCUAUCACUGGUGCUUUCAAUAUUUGAUCUCUCAUUUCAGGAUGUCUACAAUGGAUUUAACAACGAAUCCAGACUUUCAAAGAUUACAGACACUACAAAUGUCUCAAAUCAAAGAGAUAAGCGAAUUCAGGAACAAUGUAAAUAACAAUUUCUUGGAGUUAGGGAGGCAGAUUAGUGAAAUUUGUUCCACACUCAAAGAAAAGCCACCAGAUACAAGUAAAAUCAAUCUGGAGAAUCCUGAAAUUGAAGGAAAUGCAAAAGAAAAACCUAAAUCACAUCAUCUAUUCUACCAGUCAGUGGUAGACUUAGAUAACCUGGAUUAUGCAAGUAGCAUUAUGAAUAAUGACUCUUAUGAACCGGCCAAGCACAUAAAGGUCAAUAUGCCAAGGUUCGAUGGCACUGAUGCAGAAGGAUGGCUAUUUUCAGUACGAAGGUACUUUAUAUUCAAUAAAAUACCUGAAGAUCAGAAACUGGUUAUUGUAUCAUUUCAUUUAGAUGGGAUAGCAAAGAAAUGGUUUGCUUGGCUUGAAGCAAGCAACAUGCUAUCAUUUUGGAAAAACUUUGUGGAUGCAGUUAUCAGGAAAUUCACAACUUGACACUACUCCCUACCUGGUGGCAAGCUAAGUAAACUAUGCCAAGAAGUUACAGUGGCUGAGUACCAAGCUCUGUUUGAAGAACUAUGCACUAGGGUAUUGGGCCUACCAGAAUAUUUUAUUUUAGAGAUGUAUAUUUCUGGCCUUAAAGAAGAAAUUCAGCCAGAAGUGAUUUCAAAAAAGCCAUCUGAUAUUCAUGAAGCUUUUGAGCUAUCUCUCAUAUUUGAGGCAAGAAAACCAAGGUUUAAAGGCAGCAACAAGCCUUUCUAUACAAAACCAUUCAUACCAAAGACUACACCAUUCAGUUUCAAGCCUGGCCAAAUAGAAGUAACCCCAAAGGAAGCUAACAUACAAAAACCUGUGUUUAAAAGACUAUCUCCUGCUGAAAGAAAGGAGAGAACUGCAAAAGGGUUAUGUUUUAACUGUGAUGAUAAAUUCAUUCCGGGUCACAAGUGUAAAGGAAAUUUUUUCAGAAUGUCGACAGAUGAAUUUUAUUUUUAGGAGGUGGUUGAUGAAGAGGAAACUGAGGAGGAACCUGAAAAUAUAAGUUCUGAGGAUCGGGAAAUCAGCUAUCAUGCAUUUGAGGGUCAUAUUAAUGCCACUACUAUCAGACUAGAUGGGUUCAUAAAAAGUCAGUGUGUGAGUGUUCUAUUAACUACAGGCUCAACACACAACUUUAUGCAAACUGAGGUAGCAGCUGCACUAAAAUUAGUUCCUCAUGUCAUAGUACCAUUUAAAGUAUCUACGGGCAGUGGAAAAUUGAUCUGUGAGGCUGUUUGCAAAGAGGUAGAGAUUAAAAUUCAGAACACAAUUGUAAAAAUGGACAUUUUUCUACUUCAGAUGGAAGGAGCCAAUGUGGUGAUUGGGAUUCAAGGACUGAAAUCUUUAGGACCAGUUACUUUUAAUUUUGAUGAUUUGAAUGUCUUUCCUAAAAGAAGAGAGAUUAUUUGGCAGGGUUGUCCAUGGGAUUCUGAAGACCUCCUAUCUGUGGGUAAGUUAAAGUGUCUUAUUGCUUCAACACAAGAGGCUUACUUAUGUUAUAUGGAAAGGGUAGAAGAAAACGAGAAAGUUCCCAUUUUGAAUUCUAAUAGCCAAGAGGUAACUGAAAUUGUACAACAGUACACUGAUAUUUUUGAAACACCAACAAGGUUACCACCACAAAGGGACAGAGACCACUUUAUACAUCUUGAGAAUAAUUCCAACCCUAUCAAUGUGAGGCCUUAUAGGUACCCACAAUUUAAGAAAUCAGAGAUUGAAAGGUUAUAAGUUGCUGAAAUGAUGACUCAAAAAAUUAUCAAGCCCAGUACUAGUCCCUACUACUCCCCAGUACUGCUAGUAAAAAAGAAAGAUGGGGUUUACAGAUUAUGUGUGGAUUAAGAGCAUUAAAUGCCCUAACUAUCAAAGAUAAGUUCACUAUCCCUACUGUGGAUGAACUCCUUAGAGAACUUAAAGGAUCUAUUUUUUUUCAAAAUUAGAUCUAAGAUCAAACUUCCACCAGAUUAGAGUCCAUGCUCCUCAUACUGAAAGGACAGCAUUCAAAACUCAUCAGGGGCACUUCGAAUUCUUAGUGAUGCCAUUUGGGCUCACAAAUGCACCAGCAACAUUUCAAUCGGUUAUGAAUUCAGUUUUUGCUAAAUAUUUGAGAAAAUUUUGUACAAUCAAAAUUGUCGAUAUAAGAUUAUAUUUUAAUUCAUGUCAAUUUAAACCCUAAUUACACUAUUAAUCUAUAGGGGUUAAAUAAGUCAAUCGAUAUUAAACCUAACUCCAAUUAAUUAAUUAAUCAUUUGAGUUAAAUGUUUAAUUCAAAGUUAAAAGUCAAAUUGGAAUAAUUGCAUCUUUACCUUGAAUAUUAUUAUUAUUAUCUUUUGACUCUUUAUUCAAGGUAUAAUAUUUCAAGGGGACAAAACACUAUUCACGUUUGAAUUUUUUCAAAGAUAAGAUUCUCCAACAAACACUAUUCAAGAUAAGAUCAAAGGCAAAGCUUGGAUUUAUGUGAGAAAUCAAAGAGCCAUCCAUUGAAGAUCCAAGGGUGGACAUUGAGUGGCCAAGGCUAUAAAUAAAAAGGUAUUCCCCUCAUUUUCACUCACCACACUACAAGCAAUCAAAGAGUUUUCACUCCACAUUUGAGAUCACACGUUUUUGCCUCCAAGCUUCCAAGCAUCCAAAGUGCUCAAGUGUCCUAGCUUUCUAAAGUUUCAAAAGCUCUCCAACUUCUUCUUCUAAUCUUCUUGUUCAUCUCUACAAGUAAGAAGUGUUGUUUGCUUAAAUAUUCCACUCCUCUAAUCACCUCUUGUAUGUGUCCACUUUGUUCGAGAGGUUUCCGGGAUAACCUCUAAUAAUCAAAAAGCUCUAAGUUUGGUUUUAUAGAGUUUCCGGGAUAACUUUUAGGUCAAUCUACCUUGAAAGAUUUCUAGGUUCUUAAGAGUUUCCUUAAUUGAUGGCCAAACAGAAAUUGAUGGCCAAACAGAGGUAAUGAACAGAACGCUGGAGAUGUAUUUAAGGUCUUGUUGUCAUGAAGACCCAAAACAAUGGUUGGGGUUACUACCUUGGGCAGAAUUGUGGUAUAAUUUAAGGUAUCACUCAUCACUUGGAAUGACUCCAUUUAAGGCAGUUUAUGGGAAAGAAGCUGAUGAACUACCACAUUACAAUGCAAGGGAAUCUCAAAUUGAAUCAGUAGACACCCUAUUGCAAAUCAGGGAGGAGGUUCUGGAAAUUAUGAAAAAAAAUCUAGCAAAAGCACAAGCAAGGAUGAAAUCACAAGCUGAUAGAAAAAAGGUAUGAUAUCACAUUUAAAUUGGGAGAUUGAGUGUUGGUGAAACUUCAACCAUAUAGACAAAUAUCAGUAGCUAACAGGAUUCACAACAAAUUAUGUCAAAAAUAUUUUGGACCUUAUAAAGUGGAAAAAAUAAUAACAAAGCUGCAUACAGACUCAAGCUACCUGAGGGAAGCAAAAUUCAUAAUACUUUUCAUGUCUCAAGAUUGAAGGCAUUCAUAGGUCCAAUUCCAGAAAAUUCGAGCAAAGGGGAUCCUGUAAUUUCUGUCCAAAACCAACCAAUUACAUACCCAUUAGCAAUACUGGAAAGGAAAAAGUAAAUCAGAUACUAAUUCAAUGGAAUGGAGCAUUACCUGAGGAUUCUUCUUGGGAGUCUAUGGCGGACAUGGCAGCGGCAUUUCCUUCUUUAAACCUUGAGGACAAGGUCGUCUCUAGAGGGGGAAGUGAUGAUAUAAUUCCAAUCAACUAUGAGGAAGUAUCAGAGUAUAUCCAGUUGGAGGGGGGCAGUGAAAUCGCGGAAUCCCUAACUGGGGAAAGAUUGGGGAUGAACGACGACGGUCCAGAACAGCUUAACUCUGGUGAACCUGGUCAGCCUUCCACAAGCAGCAGUAGACCUGCUAGGGAGAGAAAGAAGCCGGCCCACUUGUUUAAUGGGCUAAGGGAGGAAUUGGCCCACUUGAAGAAUUUAAGUUUUUUUAAAAAAAAUUGCUAAAAAGACCUUAAGUUUAAAUUUAAUGUUGUAAUAGUCAGUAGUAUAAGGAUGUUUUAAUGAUUGGGAAAUCAGUAUCGAAAAUUGAACCAAAUAUUCCUGUUCUUGCGCAAACUCCCUCUCAAACCCUACAUCCGGGAAAUGAGUACCUCUCGACCCCGCCCAUCAAAAUCCGUCUGGUCUGCCUUAACUUCCAGCCGCAUUGUGCCCUCUGCUGAUUGGUUUAACAACCGUGAUCACUCAGAGCUAAGAUUCAAUAUCAGGGAUAUAUUCCUGCCGUGAACUGCCUUGGACACCUAAGAUCUCUGAUCUUAGAUCUAGGGCACCAUCGACCUCAG